This 372-nucleotide ribosomal RNA is filed under the name uncultured organism. RNAcentral describes it as "bacterial SSU rRNA". It matches the Rfam family "Bacterial small subunit ribosomal RNA", at positions 526 to 896 of the family's 1533-position model. The record is from RNAcentral.
CGGGGGGAGCAAGCGUUGUUCGGAAUCACUGGGCGUAAAGGGCGUGUAGGCGGUCAAGUAAGUGGGAUGUGAAAUGCCUCGGCUUACCCGGGGACCUGCAUCCCAAACUGCUUGGCUUGAGUAUGGGAGAGGAUGAGGGAAUUCCUGGUGUAGCGGUGAAAUGCGUAGAUAUCAGGAGGAACACCGGUGGCGAAAGCGCUCAUCUGGCCCAAUACUGACGCUGAGGCGCGAAAGCUAGGGGAGCAAACGGGAUUAGAUACCCCGGUAGUCCUAGCCGUAAACGGUGAUCACUAGGUGUUGGAGGCAUCGACCCCUCCAGUGCCGCAGCUAACGCAUUAAGUGAUCCGCCUGGGGAGUACGGCCGCAAGGUUG